Poeciliopsis prolifica (blackstripe livebearer) is the source of this 524-nucleotide long non-coding RNA. RefSeq lists it as uncharacterized. The transcript is spliced from 2 exons. The record is from RefSeq and is a predicted model, not a curated record. NCBI's taxonomy places the organism in Eukaryota, Metazoa, Chordata, Actinopteri, Cyprinodontiformes, Poeciliidae.
AGUUAGAUUUGGUAAGCUUUCUCUAGAAGUAUUAACAUGGUUGCAAAUAAGAAGUUUUGGUAACAUGUUUCUUUAACUUUUUCUUCUAGGAUGGGACAGUGACAUGUCAUCCAUUUUGAUCCUGGUGUGCCUCCUGCCACAGUCACCUCCUGGAUACAAGAGACCAGGAAAACUCUCAGCCAGACAAGCCAGUGAACAUCUUGUGAAGUUUGUCAAGACAAGAACCAGCAUCAAGGAGCACCUUGAAGGCAUCGCAGAGAGCUGUCAACCAUACCUGCUUGCAGUAAGGACUCAGAGGAGCGUGAUUUGAUGAGCUUUUUAAAGCUCACUUUAUGUUUGGCACUUCAUUUGAUCAUGAUCUGGUCAAUGUGUACAAGAGACGGACCUCAUGUUAUUUAUGUAGAAGAGCUUUACUGUUCCAGAGCUUUUCAUUUCGAGGUGUCAUACAGUCAUGAAGACGCAAAUGUUUAAAUUGUUCCAUGCUGUUUUCUGUGAACAAUAAAAAAUGGCUGUCCAAAUUCUGA